AAUUUUAUAGUUUAUUAUUAGAAUAUUAAAUUGCAAAUUUAAUGGAAACUUAUGUUUAAAAUUU
Molecule: transfer RNA, 64 nt
Filed under: Dypsocus coleoptratus
Lineage: Eukaryota; Metazoa; Arthropoda; Insecta; Psocodea; Caeciliusidae
Description: tRNA-Cys
Source: RNAcentral